GAAGUGGUAGCUCAGUGGUUAAAAUGUUGGACUUCUGGUCAGAAGGCCAUGAGUUCACAUCCCAGCACUUUCA
Non-coding RNA from Pangasianodon gigas (Mekong giant catfish), 73 nucleotides. NCBI's taxonomy places the organism in Eukaryota, Metazoa, Chordata, Actinopteri, Siluriformes, Pangasiidae. The record is from the annotation of a GenBank genome assembly.